UCUGAUGUGAAAGCCCACGGCUCAACCGUGGAGGGUCAUUGGAAACUGGGGAACUUGAGUGCAGAAGAGGAAAGUGGAAUUCCAAGUGUAGCGGUGAAAUGCGUAGAGAUUUGGAGGAACACCAGUGGCGAAGGCGACUUUCUGGUCUGUAACUGACACUGAGGCGCGAAAGCGUGGGGAGCAAACAGGAUUAGAUACCC
RNAcentral lists this ribosomal RNA (200 nucleotides) under Bacillus sp. (in: firmicutes). Its description in RNAcentral is "Bacillus sp. (in: Bacteria) partial 16S ribosomal RNA". It matches the Rfam family "Bacterial small subunit ribosomal RNA", at positions 588 to 787 of the family's 1533-position model. Lineage: Bacteria; Bacillati; Bacillota; Bacilli; Caryophanales; Bacillaceae. The record is from RNAcentral.